RNAcentral lists this ribosomal RNA (407 nucleotides) under uncultured beta proteobacterium. RNAcentral's name for it is "bacterial SSU rRNA". It matches the Rfam family "Bacterial small subunit ribosomal RNA", at positions 9 to 419 of the family's 1533-position model. The record is from RNAcentral. Lineage: Bacteria; Pseudomonadati; Pseudomonadota; Betaproteobacteria.
GAGUUUGAUCUUGGCUCAGAUUGAACGCUGGCGGCAUGCCUUACACAUGCAAGUCGAACGCGAAAGCGGGGCAACCCGCAAGUAGAGUGGCGAACGGGUGAGUAAUACAUCGGAACAUUUCCAGUAGCGGGGGAUAACCUGUCGAAAGAUAGGCUAAUACCGCAUACGACCUACGGGUGAAAGCGGAGGACCGCAAGGCUUCGCACUAUUGGAGUGGCCGAUGUCGGAUUAGCUAGUUGGCGGGGUAAAAGCCCACCAAGGCGACGAUCCGUAGCUGGUCUGAGAGGACGAUCAGCCACACUGGAACUGAGACACGGUCCAGACUCCUACGGGAGGCAGCAGUGGGGAAUAUUGGACAAUGGGGGAAACCCUGAUCCAGCCAUGCCGCGUGAGUGAAGAAGGCCUUC